GACGAACGCUGGCGGCGUGCUUAACACAUGCAAGUCGAACGGUGAAGCGCCUUCCUUUUUGGUGGGUGUGGAUGAGUGGCGAACGGGUGAGUAACACGUGCGUAACCUGCCCCCUUCUUCUGGAUAACCGCAUGAAAGUGUGGCUAAUACGGGAUAUUCUGGGCCUGUGGAAUCAUGGGUUUGGGAAAGCUUUUGUUUCGGUGGGGGAUGGGCUCGCGGCCUCUCAGCUUGUUGGUGGGGUGAUGGCCUACCAAGGCGCUGACGGGUAGCUGGCCUGGGAGGGUGGGCGGUCACAGUGGGACUGAAACACGGACAAGACUACUACGGGCAGCAGCGGUGAGGAAUAGUGCACGAUGGGAGGAAGGCUGAUGCAGCGACGCGGCGUGGGGGAUGGCGGCCGUCGGGUUGUGAACCUCUUUCGCGAGUGAAGCAGGGCUGCCUCGUUUGUGGGUGGGUUGACGGUAGCUAGAUAAGAAGCGCCGGCUAACUACGUG
This 494-nucleotide ribosomal RNA is filed under the name uncultured bacterium. RNAcentral describes it as "partial 16S ribosomal RNA". It matches the Rfam family "Bacterial small subunit ribosomal RNA", at positions 28 to 507 of the family's 1533-position model. The record is from RNAcentral.